UGUGAAUUGGUCAAGCUAUUUAAAUGCAUUAGACAAAACAGAGUCUAUGGCUAAGUAGGUAGACUACAGUAAGUCAUCUUGUAACAUCGUAGGUAGACUACAGUAAGUCAACUUGUAACAUCGUAGGUAGACUACAGUAAGUCAACUUGUAACAUAGUUGGUAGACUACAGUAAGUCAUCUUGUAACAUCGUUGGUAGACUACAGUAAGUCAUCUUUCGAGUGACAGAGGGCUUUGCAAAGGAACUUUGUUGACAUUGUUGUGGAACUGGAAAAACAACGCCCAGAACAUAAAAUAACUUUAUUAACCAGUUCCCAUACUUUUAAAAUAUUGGUUCUGUUUACGGAACAGUAUAGAUCAGGUGCUAUCCACCUGUAGAGCAUGUGUGUGCGUUUACCUGACAGGGUGUGGCUUAAAGACGGCGUGUCCCGUAGGGUCAGUGUUGUUC
Molecule: long non-coding RNA, 447 nt
Organism: Oncorhynchus tshawytscha (Chinook salmon)
Lineage: Eukaryota; Metazoa; Chordata; Actinopteri; Salmoniformes; Salmonidae
Source: Ensembl